AUACUUACCUGGCAGGGGAGAUACCAUGAUCACGAAGGUGGUUUUCCCAGGGCGAGGCUUAUCCAUUGCACUCCGGAUGUGCUGACCCCUGCGAUUUCCCCAAAUGUGGGAAACUCGACUGCAUAAUUUGUGGUAGUGGGGGACUGUGUUCGUGCUCUCCAA
Molecule: small nuclear RNA, 162 nt
Filed under: Myotis davidii
Lineage: Eukaryota; Metazoa; Chordata; Mammalia; Chiroptera; Vespertilionidae
Description: U1 spliceosomal RNA
Rfam family: U1 spliceosomal RNA
About the family: U1 is a small nuclear RNA (snRNA) component of the spliceosome (involved in pre-mRNA splicing). Its 5' end forms complementary base pairs with the 5' splice junction, thus defining the 5' donor site of an intron. There are significant differences in sequence and secondary structure between metazoan and yeast U1 snRNAs, the latter being much longer (568 nucleotides as compared to 164 nucleotides in human).
Source: Rfam by way of RNAcentral